RNAcentral lists this ribosomal RNA (19 nucleotides) under Naumovozyma castellii. Its description in RNAcentral is "partial small subunit ribosomal RNA". The record is from RNAcentral. Lineage: Eukaryota; Fungi; Ascomycota; Saccharomycetes; Saccharomycetales; Saccharomycetaceae.
AAUAUACUUUAAUAUUCCA